AGGAAAAGAAACCAACAGGGAUUGCCCUAGUAACGGCGAGUGAAGCGGCAACAGCUCAAAUUUGAAAUCUGGCUCUCGGGCCCGAGUUGUAAUUUGUAGAGGAUACUUUUGAUGCGGUGCCUUCCGAGUUCCCUGGAACGGGACGCCAUAGAGGGUGAGAGCCCCGUCUGGUUGGAUGCCAAAUCUCUGUAAAGUUCCUUCAACGAGUCGAGUAGUUUGGGAAUGCUGCUCUAAAUGGGAGGUAUAUGUCUUCUAAAGCUAAAUACCGGCCAGAGACCGAUAGCGCACAAGUAGAGUGAUCGAAAGAUGAAAAGCACUUUGAAAAGAGAGUUAAAAAGUACGUGAAAUUGUUGAAAGGGAAGCGUUUAUGACCAGACUUGGGCUUGGUUAAUCAUCUGGGGUUCUCCCCAGUGCACUUUUCCAGUCCAGGCCAGCAUCAGUUUUCCCCGGGGGAUAAAGGCGGCGGGAAUGUGGCUCUCUUCGGGGAGUGUUAUAGCCCACCGUGUAAUACCCUGGGGGGGACUGAGGUUCGCGCAUCUGCAAGGAUGCUGGCGUAAUGGUCAUCAACGACCCGUCUU
This 578-nucleotide ribosomal RNA is filed under the name Fusarium cf. oxysporum TR 5.a. Its description in RNAcentral is "eukaryotic LSU rRNA". It matches the Rfam family "Eukaryotic large subunit ribosomal RNA", at positions 54 to 655 of the family's 3401-position model. Lineage: Eukaryota; Fungi; Ascomycota; Sordariomycetes; Hypocreales; Nectriaceae. The record is from RNAcentral. RNAcentral also lists the same sequence under 1 other name.